GACGAACGCUGGCGGCGUGCCUAAUACAUGCAAGUAGAACGCUGAAGGAGGAGCUUGCUUCUCUGGAUGAGUUGCGAACGGGUGGGUAACGCGUAGGUAACCUGCCUGGUAGCGGGGGAUAACUAUUGGAAACGAUAGCUAAUACCGCAUAAGAGUAGAUGUUGCAUGACAUUUGCUUAAAAGGUGCAAUUGCAUCACUACCAGAUGGACCUGCGUUGUAUUAGCUAGUUGGUGGGGUAACGGCUCACCAAGGCGACGAUACAUAGCCGACCUGAGAGGGUGAUCGGCCACACUUGGACUGAGACACGGCCCAGACUCCUACGGGAGGCAGCAGUAGGGAAUCUUCGGCAAUGGACGGAAGUCUGACCGAGCAACGCCGCGUGAGUGAAGAAGGUUUUCGGAUCGUAAAGCUCUGUUGUAAGAGAAGAACGAGUGUGAGAGUGGAAAGUUCACACUGUGACGGUAUCUUACCAGAAAGGGACGGCUAACUACGUG
This 495-nucleotide ribosomal RNA is filed under the name uncultured bacterium. RNAcentral's name for it is "partial 16S ribosomal RNA". It matches the Rfam family "Bacterial small subunit ribosomal RNA", at positions 28 to 507 of the family's 1533-position model. The record is from RNAcentral.